AUUUAUUCGUUGCAGUUAUGCUUUCAAAUAUGUAUAAAAGGGAAAGCCAAACCCCGAAUUCUAUCAUCGUUUUUGAACGGAAGCUACAAUCAACAUGAAAGUGAUACUGUUCACUGCUGUGCUCGCUGUCUUGGCGUCCAACUGCUUUGCUCAAGAUGGAGCUACUCCAACUCCGCCACCUGAAGUUCCAGCAACUGUAUCCCUACCUAAGCUAAAGCUGCUUCUUGAAAUAUAAAGUUGAUUCAAAUAUUCAUUCAUAA
This 260-nucleotide small RNA is filed under the name Drosophila mojavensis. RNAcentral's name for it is "GI27008". The record is from RNAcentral. Lineage: Eukaryota; Metazoa; Arthropoda; Insecta; Diptera; Drosophilidae.